Molecule: long non-coding RNA, 1553 nt
Organism: Corythoichthys intestinalis (scribbled pipefish)
Lineage: Eukaryota; Metazoa; Chordata; Actinopteri; Syngnathiformes; Syngnathidae
Exons: 5
Source: RefSeq, a predicted model, not a curated record
CACCCCUUGGCCCUACCCCUUACCCCUUCCCCUCCGUUUUGCGCGUUCACGUGUAGGGGUAGGGCUGUCCCAAUUCACGCUAAUGUGCAGGGGUAGGGGUAAGGGGGAGGGCUUUCCACCCCUCCUAACGGAGGGCCAUGACUACCCUCACUCCAAACGGAGGGUUACGCGAAAUUUCCCAGGGUGCAAAGCGAUUACCCCGAGAAUCAUUUCCAAAAUGGCGGAGCCAAGGAAAGAAGUACACAAAUGGAGUCAAGCACAAACAAAGAGCCUUACCAGGUUUGAGAACCAAGAACGGUUCUUGAAGUCAAAAGCCUCGGCCAAACAACAGUGGGAGAAGCUGAUCAAGGAGCUGGGGCUGCAGGGGAAGAUGUCCUCCCAGCAGGUCUCCAAAAAAUGGGAGAAUUAAAAAAAAAAAAAAGUACAAGGAGCUGAAAACUCCCUGCUCUGGGGGUGGGACAGAUGAAGGCCAGGAGACCGCCACAACGUGGCAAUAUUAUGAGGAUAUGCACGCGGUGCUGAGAGGAAGGGCAGCAAUAAACCCUCCACUCUUGGUGGAUCCAUGCGCAGAGGGGGAUGUCAUCAUCCAAAGUGCUUUGAACGUCGCUGAGCCCAGAAUGUGCCACGUGCUGUUCCUGCUCCAGUCACCCCACCAUCUCUUCAUUUUGUUUAUUGAUGGUUGUCUUAUGUUCAUUUUUUUAAUCUGGUCAUAUUCAUACUGUUUAUUUUCUGUAGUUGCUCCACACACUUUCAGACACUUUAAGCUGUAAUUUGCACUAUGUUCACUAUUUCUGAAAAGAAGCUGCUAAUAAAAGAAAGGAAUAACAAUUUGUGAGCAUGAUUAUCACAUCAGCAUCAUAUGAAUGAAACGGAUAUUGGUUUGAAGAGAUUUAUUUUGUAAAAUAAAAAUGUGAUGCAUUACAUUAGAAUGUAAUGGGAAAAUGGGAGGAAAAGCGUGAAAAAAAGAAAACGAUCACCAAAAAUUAUAUACAUUGCACAUCAACACACGAGCCACCACGAUGUAAGAGAGUCUAUGUGCCAACCAGUAUAUAUAGAUCAGGACCUCCAGUUGCCCGUCCCAACCAUGGUCCUGCUCUCUCUGCAGCAGCUUUUGGACAGCGUUUAUGGCUCUUCUGCUGAGGUGUAGGUCCCAUCUCAAGUCCGCCUCAACAUUGAAUCACAACCUUAGAACAGGUAUAUUAUGGUCCAACCGGCAAUAAUUUGUGGGAUGACCCAUUUGCUGGAAAGAAAAACAUGGAAAGAACAGGCUUUCAUCCUCCCAAACCAACACAUUGAUGGCACACACAAUGCAGUGAAUGUAUUUAUGUAUUCACAUCUGACCCUGGUACAAAAAAAUGGGUUCAAACCCCCCUGAGCAGCAUGUUUAUCUCAAACGGAAGGAGGCGAGUAACAAAAGCCACACGUUAGCUGUUGCUUUUUGUUCGGUUAGCCAGGCUAGGACACUACUCCAAUCAAUAAAUCAGCAAAUAAAAAAAGGCAAGCAAAUUGUUUCUGUAUAACAAAAUAUCACGAAUGUACAGUUAAAAGGACUU